Long non-coding RNA from Mus pahari (shrew mouse), 591 nucleotides. RefSeq lists it as uncharacterized. The transcript is spliced from 5 exons. The record is from RefSeq and is a predicted model, not a curated record. NCBI's taxonomy places the organism in Eukaryota, Metazoa, Chordata, Mammalia, Rodentia, Muridae.
UCUUCCUCUGUGUUCGCUAUGGCGUCUUGUACUUCUACCCAACGUUGCCCCUCAGCCCCCCAGCCCCCGAGCUCACUGCCCUCGGCCCGCAUCUCCGGAUGCUUCCUCCGGGACUGCGGGAUACGGAGCCUGCCGCCUAGGAACCCGAUUUCUCCGUCUCGUCCAUGGAAGCACGGGUCAUAGUGGCCGCAUGCGCAGUGCUAACUCAGCGGCCCGCGCCUUUUGACCGGUGUGUGCUGCAGGCUUGGGGGUGAUGGGAUCUGCUGUUGUGGUGGAGAUUGUGGUGAGGAAGGAGACCAGAAGAUGACGACGACAAUGACACAGCAGAAGGGCCGGGUUACACUUGGGCUUCUUUCUUUGAAGUCUGAGAAGACAGUCUGUCAGGCCGAGCUCAUUACACUAAGGGUCCAUGUAACCAGUGAAGCGGCCAUUAUACAUGAUUUGGUCUACAGUUGUUGGAAAAGCUCCACAAGGGGAUCUCCUGGAAGCCAUUGCAAUCAGAGCUAGAGUCAAAUCAAGGCCAGCCUGGGCUACGUGGAAGAACCUCAUUUUGGAAAAGUGAAAUGCUUAACAUGCAAUUGGUUCAAUGAC